This is a long non-coding RNA of Malaclemys terrapin pileata, 3452 nucleotides long. RefSeq lists it as uncharacterized. The transcript has 3 exons. NCBI's taxonomy places the organism in Eukaryota, Metazoa, Chordata, Testudines, Emydidae. The record is from RefSeq and is a predicted model, not a curated record.
AGCAAUACAAGAGGAGUGACUCUGUUGCCCAGCUGGUGAUUGAUACCGUGGGAUCUAAGAAUAGUCCUGUUGGACCAGUCUUUGAGAUCACCUGGAAAGGAAAGUAAUGACAUGAACAAAGCCAUCAGAAAAAGAUGGGAGAGUCAUUAAAAGGUCAAAAUGAUAAGACAAACAAUACCACUAUUUUUCCACUGAAAGGCUUCAAAAACUAACCAAGUUGAAGAACACACCAAGAACCAGGAAUAUAUCAGCAUGUCAUCUGAAGGUUCAAGUGGUAUAUUUACAUCCAACUAGCCUGAAGCACAAAUAUAGCUACCUACUGAAGAAACAGUGUCUCCAAAAACUAAACACAGUUCCCAGUGUUUGUUGAUCAAAGUUUUCCCAUUUAUUGAAGUUACAUAAGAUGGCUAUUGAUACACCUUUUGCAAAAAAGCUAACAAAGAGGGAAAGUUUCCCAAUGCUAUAAUCGGUAAAAGGAGGAGGAGGUGCUUGGUUUGCCAGACCAAUUAGGAAAGCCAAUGCUGACAAACUACAUGAAAAGACUGCAAAACAUCAAAUCUCUGGACUGCAUUAACAUGCAGAAAGCCUUAUAAGCCAGUCACUUUCAAAGCCAAUUUUAGAAGUACUUAAUGAGGCUGUGUCGCGGGUUGGGCCUGCGGUCACACCUGUACACCCCCCAUCAGGGCUGUGCAGCCUAGCAGCCAGAGUCAAUCCCUGCCCCCAGGCUCGAGACUGUGCGGCCUAACAGUCCAUCCAUCACUAUCAGGAUGGGCCACCACCUCCAGAUGGGCAGCAGCCAUGGUAGGGGGACUCGGGCCCUCCCUCUCCACCGGGUCCCAAUCCAGGGCCCUGUCAGUGGUGGGGUUGCCUGCUACCAGCUUGGUGGGGAUCUGGCCAAAACACACUGAGCUAGCUUCCGGUUGUUCAACCAACUCUCCGCAAAGACUCCCUGGGUUACUUCCUACCCGCUUCUCCGCAUCUCGUGGCUUCCUCGUUCCCCAGUUGCUUCUCCCUCAGUCACGUCCAGACCCUGGGAGUUGAGGGUUGCUGUCAGCUGGCUGGCCUCUGCAUUGUAAAGUGCCCACAGCCCUUCAGCAGGAGUCAGCAGCACACCUCCUUCCCCUACAGUGGUCCACCCAGACUGAGCCAGGCUGCUCCUUCUUAUACUGGUGUUGUACUUCGAGCAUGCCCAGUAGGGCCAUGGGGGCGUGGCUUCCUCAGCCCUCAGUGAGGGGUUAACCCCCUCAGUCCCAGUGCGCGGCAUGCAUGCCCAAUCUCACACACCCCCUUUAAGAAGGUGUCCUUUGGUGGCCCCUCUUCCACAUCUUCCCCUCCUACCUGGGAAAGGAAGUCUGCGUUUUGUGUGAGCCUUACCGGGUCGGUAGGUGACUUGAAAGUCGUAUGGCUGGAUUGAAAAGUACCACCUCGUGAUUCUGGCAUUGGUGUCCUUCUUACUGUUAAGCCAUCGAAGUGGCGCAUGGUCAGUGACCAACUAGAAGGGGUUCUCCAGCAAGUAGUACCUUAGGGCAUCGAUCGCCCACUUCACUGCCAGGGCCUCCUUCUCUAUCAUUGAGUACCUCUUCUCCCAGGGGAACAACUUCCUACUCAAAUAGAGGACUGGAUGCUACUCUCCCUCGUCUUCCUGGGACAACACUGCUCCCAAUCCUUCUUCUGAUGCAUCAGUCCGUAAUAUGAAAGGCCUGUCGAAGUCAGGGUGAAAUAGGACUGGCUCCCUACUUAGUUGGUCCUUCAAUUUCUGGAAGGCCUUCUAACAUUCGGCUGACCACUGUACCUUGAGGGCCUGUGAGCUCUUUGUUGGGUCCGACAAAGGUGCUGCGAUCAUUGCAAACCUCGGCACAAAGCAGCGGUAGUAUCCUGCCAGGCCCAGGAAUUGGCAUACCUGCCUUUUUGUUGUAGGUGUUGGGUAGUCCCGUAAGACUUGUACCUUGUCCACCAGGGGACGUAAAGUCCCUCAGCCCACCAUAUACCCCAGAUAUAUUACCUCUUGCUGCCCAAGGUGGCACUUGGCUGGGUUGCGGUGAUUCCGGCUUCUCCUACGGCUUACAAGACCGCCGCAAGGUGCUGAAGAUGUCCUUCCCAUGUGGGGCUGUACACCACUAUGUCAUCUAUAUAGGCAGCUGCGUACGGGUGGUGGGGUUGUAACAGUCUGUCCAUCAGUCAUUGGAACGUGGCCGUGGCCCCAUGCAUGCCAAAAGGCAUGGUGACGAAGUGAUACAGCCUGAAUGGGGGAAGGAAGGGAGUCUUCUCAUGGGAUUUGGGCAUCAGAGGUAUUUGCCAGUACCCCUUUGUGAAGUCUAACGUUGAGAUAAAUGCUGCGUUACCCAGCCAUUCCAGUAGUUCAUCCACUCUGGGCAUCUGGUGUGCGUUAAACUGGGAUAUUGUGUUGACCUCCCAGAAGUUUAUGCGGAAUUGUACGAUCCCGUCGGAUUUUGGGACUAGUAUGAUAUGGCUCCACCAUUCACUGUGUGAUUCCUCCAUGACCCCCAUGUCCAGCAUCAUGUGGAGCUCCCUCUGGACUGACCCCCACAUCUUCUUUGGCAGCAGCAGAUGGUUAUCAUGGACCUUCUGGCCAGGGAGGGUGGUAAUGUGAUGACUCACCAGUUCAGUCUGCCCUGUGUGAGGUGACAGCAUGGUGGCAAAGGCCCCGACUAGCUGCCUCCCAUUGCCCCAUGUCCAGUCCUACUCCAAUCGCAAUGAGCAUGGGGUCCAUGAGAUCAGCGGGCCGAGUUCUGGUUAUGAGGGAUAUUGGGUGAUCAGUCAAACCCUCCUGUGUCUUCCACUCUUUUAGGAGGUUCACAUGAUAAGUCCGGACUUCUUUCCAUCUGCCUGGCAGCCGCACUUCAUAGUCUACGGUCCCCACCUGCCUAACCCCCUCAAAUGACCCUUGCCAUUUGGCCAGAAGUUUGGACUUUGUGGAGGGUAGUUGUCAUAACUAUAGAGGGAAGGGUAUCAGCCCUCCAGUGUACAAUACUAUAAAAUCCCUCCUGGCCAGAGACUCCAAAAUCCUUUUCCCUGUAAAGGGUUAAGAAGUUCAGGUAACCUGGCUGACACCUGACCCAAAAGACCAAUAAGGGGACAAGAUACUUUCAAAUCUUGGUGGCGGGGGAGGCUUUUGUUUGUGCUCUUUGUUUUGGGUGGUCGCUCUUGGGACUGAGAGGGGCCAGACAUCAAUCCAUGCUCUCCAAAUCUUUCUGAACAAGUCUUUCAUAUUUCAAACUUGUAAGUAAACAGCCAGGCAAGGCAUGUUAGUUUUAUCUUUGUUUUCUCAACUUGUAAAUGUACCUUUUACUAGGGUGUUUGCUGUAACUUUGAACCUAAGGCUGGAGGAGGUCCUCUGGACUCUUUAAGUUUGAUUACCCUGUAAAGUUAUUUUCCAUCCUGAUUAUACAGAGAUGAUUUUUACCUUUUUCUUUAAUUAAAAGCCCUCUUUU